AUUAUUAUUGAGUGCACUUUAAACCCUCUCAGCACAUUAAUUAGCAUAGCGAAAACCAGAUCUUACGUAUAGAAACUUGACAAAAAUGAUCGAGAAAACAAAAGCACAAAAUGACAAAGCAAUAAAUAGAAGAAAGCACGCAAGAAAUUUAUGUCGUUCGGCUAACGAUGCGUCAUCGUGUCUACUUAUGUCCACAGGCAAGACCUCCUCAACGCAUUCUUUGAUUAAUCUACAACACAAAAGUAUGAGUAAAAUUGGAUACAUGAGAUUCUCUCCCUAUUUUUUUCUCAACAAGUUAGGGAUUUCAAAGUUGAUAAAACCCCCAAAAUCCAAAAUUAGAAGGAAAUGAUCACCACCAUCUUUUCAAGUCUCCAGAUUUAAUUUUAGCUAUUGAUCUCCCCUUAAAAACCCACCAAAAGAUGUUUUCGAUCCAUCUCUAAUCUUAA
This 446-nucleotide long non-coding RNA is filed under the name Ananas comosus (pineapple). RNAcentral's name for it is "long non-coding RNA (ACOM_LNC027028)". The record is from RNAcentral. Lineage: Eukaryota; Viridiplantae; Streptophyta; Magnoliopsida; Poales; Bromeliaceae.